This 58-nucleotide transfer RNA is filed under the name Laqueus rubellus. Its description in RNAcentral is "tRNA-Val". The record is from RNAcentral. Lineage: Eukaryota; Metazoa; Brachiopoda; Rhynchonellata; Terebratulida; Laqueidae.
CAGAGCAAAGCAUUAAGAUGCCUCCCCCUUACACUGGGAAGAUCCUUUGGUGCUCUGA